RNAcentral lists this ribosomal RNA (492 nucleotides) under uncultured bacterium. Its description in RNAcentral is "bacterial SSU rRNA". It matches the Rfam family "Bacterial small subunit ribosomal RNA", at positions 903 to 1397 of the family's 1533-position model. The record is from RNAcentral.
AAAUGAAUUGACGGGGGCCCGCACAAGCGGUGGAGCAUGUGGUUUAAUUCGAGGCUACGCGAAGAACCUUACCUGGGCUUGACAUCCCCUGCUAGUCGAUGAAAGUCGAUGUUCCCUGCGGGGACAGGGAGACAGGUGCUGCAUGGUUGUCGUCAGCUCGUGUCGUGAGAUGUUGGGUUAAGUCCCGCAACGAGCGCAACCCUUGCCUUGUGUUGCCAGCAUUAAGUUGGGGACUCACAAGGGACUGCCGGAGAUAAUCCGGAGGAAGGCGGGGAUGACGUCAAAUCAUCAUGGCCUUUAUGUCCAGGGCUACACACGUGCUACAAUGGCCGGUACAAAGGGCAGCCACACCGCGAGGUGGCGCGAAUCUUGAAAACCGGUCUCAGUUCGGAUUGCAGGCUGCAACUCGCCUGCAUGAAGCUGGAAUCGCUAGUAAUCGCGGAUCAGAAUGCCGCGGUGAAUACGUUCCCGGGCCUUGUACACACCGCCCGU